RNAcentral lists this ribosomal RNA (556 nucleotides) under uncultured bacterium. RNAcentral describes it as "partial 16S ribosomal RNA". It matches the Rfam family "Bacterial small subunit ribosomal RNA", at positions 355 to 902 of the family's 1533-position model. The record is from RNAcentral.
UGGGGAAUUUUGGACAAUGGGGGAAACCCUGAUCCAGCCAUCCCGCGUGUGCGAUGAAGGCCUUCGGGUUGUAAAGCACUUUUGGCAGGAAAGAAACGUCGCGGGUUAAUACCCCGCGAAACUGACGGUACCUGCAGAAUAAGCACCGGCUAACUACGUGCCAGCAGCCGCGGUAAUACGUAGGGUGCAAGCGUUAAUCGGAAUUACUGGGCGUAAAGCGUGCGCAGGCGGUUCGGAAAGAAAGAUGUGAAAUCCCAGAGCCUAACUUUGGAACUGCAUUUUUAACUACCGGGCUAGAGUGUGUCAGAGGGAGGUGGAAUUCCGCGUGUAGCAGUGAAAUGCGUAGAUAUGCGGAGGAACACCGAUGGCGAAGGCAGCCUCCUGGGAUAACACUGACGCUCAUGCACGAAAGCGUGGGGAGCAAACAGGAUUAGAUACCCUGGUAGUCCACGCCCUAAAACGAUGUCAACUAGCUGUUGGGGGCCUUCGGGCCUUGGUAGCGCAGCUAACGCGUGAAGUUGACCGCCUGGGGAGUACGGUCGCAAGAUUAAAACUC